AGCCAGACUCCUACGGGAGGCAGCAGUGGGGAAUAUUGCACAAUGGGGGAAACCCUGAUGCAGCGACGCCGCGUGAGUGAAGAAGUAUUUCGGUAUGUAAAGCUCUAUCAGCAGGGAAGAAGUUGACGGUACCUGAGUAAGAAGCCCCGGCUAACUACGUGCCAGCAGCCGCGGUAAUACGUAGGGGGCAAGCGUUAUCCGGAUUUACUGGGUGUAAAGGGAGCGUAGACGGCAGUGCAAGUCUGAAGUGAAAGCCCCGGGCUUAACCCGGGAAUUGCUUUGGAAACUGUACGGCUGGAGUGCUGGAGGGGUAAGCGGAAUUCCUAGUGUAGCGGUGAAAUGCGUAGAUAUUAGGAGGAACACCAGUGGCGAAGGCGGCUUACUGGACAGUAACUGACGUUGAGGCUCGAAAGCGUGGGGAGCAAACAGGAUUAGAUACCCUGGUAC
Molecule: ribosomal RNA, 447 nt
Filed under: uncultured bacterium
Lineage: Bacteria
Description: bacterial SSU rRNA
Rfam family: Bacterial small subunit ribosomal RNA
Source: RNAcentral